This 594-nucleotide ribosomal RNA is filed under the name Acinetobacter baumannii. RNAcentral's name for it is "partial 23S ribosomal RNA". It matches the Rfam family "Bacterial large subunit ribosomal RNA", at positions 2337 to 2925 of the family's 2925-position model. The record is from RNAcentral. Lineage: Bacteria; Pseudomonadati; Pseudomonadota; Gammaproteobacteria; Moraxellales; Moraxellaceae.
AUCAGGAGGUUAGUGCAAUGGCAUAAGCCAGCUUGACUGCGAGCGUGACGGCGCGAGCAGGUGCGAAAGCAGGUCAUAGUGAUCCGGUGGUUCUGAAUGGAAGGGCCAUCGCUCAACGGAUAAAAGGUACUCCGGGGAUAACAGGCUGAUACCGCCCAAGAGUUCAUAUCGACGGCGGUGUUUGGCACCUCGAUGUCGGCUCAUCACAUCCUGGGGCUGAAGUAGGUCCCAAGGGUAUGGCUGUUCGCCAUUUAAAGUGGUACGCGAGCUGGGUUUAGAACGUCGUGAGACAGUUCGGUACCUAUCUGCCGUGGGCGCUGGAGAACUGAGGGGGGCUGCUCCUAGUACGAGAGGACCGGAGUGGACGCAUCACUGGUGUUCGGGUUGUCAUGCCAAUGGCACUGCCCGGUAGCUAAAUGCGGAAGAGAUAAGUGCUGAAAGCAUCUAAGCACGAAACUUGCCCCGAGAUGAGUUCUCCCUGACUCCUUGAGAGUCCUGAAGGAACGUUGAAGACGACGACGUUGAUAGGCCGGGUGUGUAAGCGCAGUGAUGCGUUGAGCUAACCGGUACUAAAGAACCGUGAGGCUUAACCUU